Molecule: unclassified non-coding RNA, 752 nt
Filed under: Hevea brasiliensis (rubber tree)
Lineage: Eukaryota; Viridiplantae; Streptophyta; Magnoliopsida; Malpighiales; Euphorbiaceae
Source: RNAcentral
UGAAGGCAGCCCUGCAGAUACAAACCCUUUGGUGAGUUUCAGAGUUUUCUUUAAGCUAAACUAACAAGGAUAUGCUCUCCUUGUGAUUAUGUCAUGAUGAGAUAUUUCCAGAAUGUUAACAUAAAACCAUCUUAAACAGGAAAAAUAAAAUAAAAUCUUCUUCUUACUUGUUUUAUUAGCAUAGCAUGAAGGGGAUGCAUAGAACACCAGCACAAACAUGAGAAAUAAUGCAAUAUAAGCCUAACCAUCAUAACUUUGAAAGGUGAAAGAAUCUACAAGAAGUGUUAUACAAGGAACAUGUCACAUUUCUUUAUCACACAAAUGUUGAAUGGCAAGUCUCAAAAUUUCUUGUUCAAUGUAGUUUGAAACACACAUCACCAUCUUUUCAGGUCUAAGCAAGUGGAAAUAUCAAACCCAUCAUCCAGAUUUGUUCUUAUAACAGUUAAAUACACCUCACAGUUGCCCACAGACUUUUUGCAGCUAUCACCUAUGUGAUUGCAUGAGAAUUGAGAAGGAUUUCCCUUUGUUAGAUAAUUGUGACAACAAUUAAGCAUGAACAUUCUGCAUAUAAAUCAUACAAUAAUCUAAGAGGGCCAAAAUUAUCUGUUUGAGUAGGCACGAGACUUUCUGUAUAAAUCAACAGGAUUUUUGUCUUCCAAUAUUACUUUCAUUUUAGUAGCAAUUGACACUCCUGAAAAUAAUCAUAAAUGCAAACGCUACCAAUUCAAAUCACUACCUGUCAUACAAAUGGG